RNA transcript from Cicer arietinum (chickpea), 2245 nucleotides. The record is from RefSeq and is a predicted model, not a curated record. NCBI's taxonomy places the organism in Eukaryota, Viridiplantae, Streptophyta, Magnoliopsida, Fabales, Fabaceae.
ACAAGUAACAUUGAAUAGCUACUGAGCAUUUAGAAUGAAACAUAAAAUGAAACUAGUUAGCUUUUAGAAUGAAACAUAAAAUGAAAGAGUUCAAUUCUUACAAUCUCUAAACGAUAGUGUAACAUAACAGUGCGCAAGUCACAACUUCUCACGAUUUGGGAACACACGAUUUGGAACCCUAGCGGCGCGCCGUAACUUCUCAUUCCGGCCACCGUCACGGUCAUUUUCGGACCUCUGUUACUGUCGUCUUCUUCCAUGGCUACACUUGCUGAUACUUUUCUUGCUGACCUUGACGAACUCUCUGAUAACGAAGCUGAAAUCCCUGCAGAUAAUAAUGUCGAUGCUGCAGAUAUGGACGAAGAUGUUGAUGGUGAUCUGGCUGACCUAGAAAACCUCAACUAUGAUGACUUGGAUAGUGUUUCUAAGUUGCAGCAAACCCAAAGAUACAUUGAUAUUGUACAGAAAGUGGAAGAAGCCCUUAAAAAGGGUUCAGAUGUCACAAUUCAGGGAGUAGAUUUAGAAGAUGAUCCUGAAUACCAAUUAAUUGUGGAAUGCAAUGCGUUGUCGGUUGAUAUUGAGAAUGAAAUUGUCAUUAUUCACAAUUUUAUUCGCGACAAGUAUCGCUUGAAAUUUCCAGAGCUUGAGUCACUAGUUCAUCACCCAAUCGAUUAUGCACGUGUUGUUAAAAAAAUAGGAAAUGAAAUGGAUCUGACUCUUGUUGAUUUAGAAGGGCUUUUACCCUCAGCCAUUAUCAUGGUUGUCUCAGUUACAGCAUCGACUACGACAGGCAAGCCACUUCCAGAAGAAGUCCUUAGUAAGACAAUUGAGGCAUGUGAUCGAGCCCUUACUCUUGAUUCAGCGAAGAAGAAUGUACUUGAUUUUGUUGAGAGCAGAAUGGGUUACAUUGCACCUAAUGUUUCUGCUAUAGUUGGGAGUGCUGUUGCAGCUAAACUCAUGGGAACAGCUGGUGGCCUAUCUGCUCUUGCAAAGAUGCCUGCUUGUAAUGUUCAGCUUCUUGGAGCCAAGAAAAAAAAUCUUGCUGGGUUCUCGACUGCAACGUCACAAUUUCAUGUAGGUUACCUAGAGCAAACAGAAAUAUUUCAAACUACUCCUCCUCCUUUAAGGAUGCGAGCAUGCCGACUCCUGGCUGCAAAGUCUACACUUGCGGCACGAGUAGACUCAAUACGUGGGGACCCAUCUGGGAAAACUGGAAGAACUCUCAAGGAUGAGAUCCACAAAAAAAUUGAGAGGUGGCAAGAGCCCCCUCCUGCUAAGCAACCCAAACCACUUCCAGUGCCUGAUUCUGAGCCUAAAAAGAAGAGAGGUGGUCGUAGGCUUAGGAAAAUGAAGGAGAGGUAUGCAAUAACGGACAUGAGGAAGUUAGCCAAUAGGAUGCAAUUUGGAGUUCCCGAAGAGAGCUCUUUAGUGAAAAUAAGGAAUUAAGGAUUAGAUAGAAGGAGAAAAGAGGAGUAUCAGUAAUGCCACUUUGAAAAAUUGUGAUAUUAUAAUUAGCAAACUCCAUGUUAGUCAUGACUAUGCUGGAUCAUGUUAAAGAAAGCGCGAAUCAGAAUAAUGGCUUGCAACAUGCUGUAACAACGGAUUUGGUACAAAGGGGAUGGUCUGGGUGAGGGUUAUGGAAUGCUUGGUCAGGCUGGCAGUGGCAAGCUUCGUGUGUCAGUAGGUCAAAGCAAACUUGCUGCAAAAGUUGCUAAAAAAUUUAAGGAAAGGAGUUAUGGUAGCAGUGGUGCUACAUCUGGUUUAACCUCAAGUCUUGCAUUUACACCAGUGCAGGGGAUUGAGCUGACAAAUCCACAGGCUCAUGCACACCAACUUGGUAGUGGAACUCAAAGCACCUACUUCUCUGAAACAGGAACAUUUUCGAAGAUCAAGAGGACUUGAAGCUAUGCAUGAAUCCAAAUUCUUGUUCUUUCUCCUGAAUUGCUGAUGGUAAACGUACCAGUAAAUUGUUGAUGCUGGGCGAUUGCUUGAUAGGUCUGCGGUAGGUUUUUGUAGCAGAGCCAUAUAUGCUGUUAAUUAAUUAUGUGUUACUCUGAUUUCCUCUCCAGAGUGUAGCCAUAUAUCAUAUAUGACUUUUUUCUGGGUAAGAUUUAUAUAUAUUUUUAAUUUACUUUUACCUUUAGAAAAAACAUAUAAUAUUCGUUGUAAUAUUGAAAUGAUGAUCAAUCUAUACCAAUUUCAUGGGAUAAGUUAACAACACAAUGAAAUUGGAUUUGGUACUUAACAA